AGCUGACAGCUGCAGACCUG
This 20-nucleotide unclassified non-coding RNA is filed under the name Mus musculus (house mouse). RNAcentral's name for it is "oocyte_clustered_small_RNA10044". Lineage: Eukaryota; Metazoa; Chordata; Mammalia; Rodentia; Muridae. The record is from RNAcentral.